UCCUCAUGGCCUUUAUGCCCAGGGCUACACACGUGCUACAAUGGGUGGUACAAAGAGAUGCAAUCUCGCAAGAGCAAGCAAACCUCAAAAAGCCAUCCUCAGUUCGGAUUGGAGUCUGCAACUCGACUCCAUGAAGUCGGAAUCGCUAGUAAUCGCGGAUCAGCACGCCGCGGUCGAAUACGUUCCCGGGCCUU
This 194-nucleotide ribosomal RNA is filed under the name uncultured Smithella sp. RNAcentral's name for it is "partial 16S ribosomal RNA". It matches the Rfam family "Bacterial small subunit ribosomal RNA", at positions 1190 to 1382 of the family's 1533-position model. The record is from RNAcentral. Lineage: Bacteria; Pseudomonadati; Thermodesulfobacteriota; Syntrophia; Syntrophales; Smithellaceae.